GACGAACGCUGGCGGCGUGCUUAACACAUGCAAGUCGAACGGAAAGGCCCUGCUUUUGCGGGGUGCUCGAGUGGCGAACGGGUGAGUAACACGUGAGUAACCUGCCCUUGACUUUGGGAUAACUUCAGGAAACUGGGGCUAAUACCGGAUAGGAGCUCCUGCUGCAUGGUGGGGGUUGGAAAGUUUCGGCGGUUGGGGAUGGACUCGCGGCUUAUCAGCUUGUUGGUGGGGUAGUGGCUUACCAAGGCUUUGACGGGUAGCCGGCCUGAGAGGGUGACCGGCCACAUUGGGACUGAGAUACGGCCCAGACUCCUACGGGAGGCAGCAGUGGGGAAUAUUGCACAAUGGGCGGAAGCCUGAUGCAGCAACGCCGCGUGCGGGAUGACGGCCUUCGGGUUGUAAACCGCUUUCGCCUGUGACGAAGCGUGAGUGACGGUAAUGGGUAAAGAAGCACCGGCUAACUACGUGCCAGCAGCCGCGGUGAUACGUAGGGUGCGAGCGUUGUCCGGAUUUAUUGGGCGUAAAGGGCUCGUAGGUGGUUGAUCGCGUCGGAAGUGUAAUCUUGGGGCUUAACCCUGAGCGUGCUUUCGAUACGGGUUGACUUGAGGAAGGUAGGGGAGAAUGGAAUUCCUGGUGGAGCGGUGGAAUGCGCAGAUAUCAGGAGGAACACCAGUGGCGAAGGCGGUUCUCUGGGCCUUUCCUGACGCUGAGGAGCGAAAGCGUGGGGAGCGAACAGGCUUAGAUACCCUGGUAGUCCACGCUGUAAACGGUGGGUACUAGGUGUGGGGUCCAUUCCACGGGUUCCGUGCCGUAGCUAACGCUUUAAGUACCCCGCCUGGGGAGUACGGCCGCAAGGCUAAAACUCAAAGGAAUUGACGGGGCCCCGCACAAGCGGCGGAGCAUGCGGAUUAAUUCGAUGCAACGCGUAGAACCUUACCUGGGUUUGACAUGGAUCGGGAGCGCUCAGAGAUGGGUGUGCCUCUUUUGGGGUCGGUUCACAGGUGGUGCAUGGCUGUCGUCAGCUCGUGUCGUGAGAUGUUGGGUUAAGUCCCGCAACGAGCGCAACCCUUGUUCACUGUUGCCAGCACGUUAUGGUGGGGACUCAGUGGAGACCGCCGGGGUCAACUCGGAGGAAGGUGGGGAUGACGUCAAGUCAUCAUGCCCCUUAUGUCCAGGGCUUCACGCAUGCUACAAUGGCUGGUACAGAGAGUGGCGAGCCUGUGAGGGUGAGCGAAUCUCGGAAAGCCGGUCUCAGUUCGGAUUGGGGUCUGCAACUCGACCUCAUGAAGUCGGAGUCGCUAGUAAUCGCAGAUCAGCAACGCUGCGGUGAAUACGUUCCCGGG
This 1343-nucleotide ribosomal RNA is filed under the name uncultured bacterium. Its description in RNAcentral is "16S ribosomal RNA". It matches the Rfam family "Bacterial small subunit ribosomal RNA", at positions 28 to 1378 of the family's 1533-position model. The record is from RNAcentral.